RNAcentral lists this ribosomal RNA (425 nucleotides) under uncultured cyanobacterium. Its description in RNAcentral is "bacterial SSU rRNA". It matches the Rfam family "Bacterial small subunit ribosomal RNA", at positions 356 to 795 of the family's 1533-position model. Lineage: Bacteria; Bacillati; Cyanobacteriota. The record is from RNAcentral.
GGGGAAUUUUCCGCAAUGGGCGAAAGCCUGACGGAGCAAUACCGCGUGAGGGAGGAAGGCUUUUGGGUUGUAAACCUCUUUUAUCAAGGAAGAAGAAAGUGACGGUACUUGAAGAAUAAGCAUCGGCUAACUCCGUGCCAGCAGCCGCGGUAAUACGGAGGAUGCAAGCGUUAUCCGGAAUCAUUGGGCGUAAAGCGUCCGCAGGUGGCUCGUCAAGUCUGCUGUUAAAGACAGAAGCUUAACUUCUGAAAAGCGGUGGAAACUGGGGAGCUAGAGUACGGUAGGGGUUGAGGGAAUUCCCAGUGUAGCGGUGAAAUGCGUAGAGAUUGGGAAGAACACCAGUGGCGAAGGCGCUCAACUGGGCCGUAACUGACACUCAGGGACGAAAGCUAGGGGAGCGAAAGGGAUUAGAUACCCCUGUAGUC